GACGAACGCUGGCGGCGUGCUUAACACAUGCAAGUCGAACGAAGAGCGAUGGAAGCUUGCUUCUAUCAAUCUUAGUGGCGAACGUGUGAGUAACGCGUAAUCAACCUGCCCUUCAGAGGGGGACAACAGUUGGAAACGACUGCUAAUACCGCAUACGAUCUGACCUCGGCAUCGAGGAUAGAUGAAAGGUGGCCUCUACAUGUAAGCUAUCACUGAAGGAGGGUAUUGCGUCUGAUUAGCUAGUUGGGUGGGUAACGGCCCACCAAGGCGAGGCUCAGUAGCCGGACUGAGAGGAUGAACGGGCAAAGUGGGACUGAGAAACGGCCCAGACUUCUACGGGAGGCAGCAGUGGGGAAUCUUCCGCAAUGGACGAAAGUCUGACGGAGCAAAGCCGCGUGAGUGAUGAAGGCCUUCGGGUUGGAAAGCUCUGUUAAUCGGGAAGAAAGGCCUUUUUGCGAAUAGUGAGAAGGAUUGACGGUACCGGAAGAGAAAGCCACGGCUAACUACGUG
This 510-nucleotide ribosomal RNA is filed under the name uncultured bacterium. RNAcentral's name for it is "partial 16S ribosomal RNA". It matches the Rfam family "Bacterial small subunit ribosomal RNA", at positions 28 to 507 of the family's 1533-position model. The record is from RNAcentral.